AUUGAACGCUGGCGGCAGGCUUAACACAUGCAAGUCGAGCGGGGUGAUGGUGCUUGCACUAUCACUUAGCGGCGGACGGGUGAGUAAUGCUUAGGAAUCUGCCUAUUAGUUGGGGACAACAUCUCGAAAGGGAUGCUAAUACCGCAUACGUCCUACGGGAGAAAGCAGGGGAUCACUUGUGACCUUGCGCUAAUAGAUGAGCCUAAGUCGGAUUAGCUAGUUGGUGGGGUAAAGGCCUACCAAGGCGACGAUCUGUAGCGGGUCUGAGAGGAUGAUCCGCCACACUGGGACUGAGACACGGCCCAGACUCCUACGGGAGGCAGCAGUGGGGAAUAUUGGACAAUGGGGGGAACCCUGAUCCAGCCAUACCGCGUGUGUGAAGAAGGCCUUAUGGUUGUAAAGCACUUUAAGCGAGGAGGAGGCUCUUUUGGUUAAUACCCAAGAUGAGUGGACGUUACUCGCAGAAUAAACACCGGCUAACUCUGUGCCAGCAGCCGCGGUAA
Molecule: ribosomal RNA, 503 nt
Filed under: uncultured bacterium
Lineage: Bacteria
Description: partial 16S ribosomal RNA
Rfam family: Bacterial small subunit ribosomal RNA
Source: RNAcentral